This 139-nucleotide small nuclear RNA is filed under the name Rhodnius prolixus. RNAcentral describes it as "U2 spliceosomal RNA". It matches the Rfam family "U2 spliceosomal RNA". From Rfam's summary of the family: U2 is a small nuclear RNA (snRNA) component of the spliceosome (involved in pre-mRNA splicing). Complementary binding between U2 snRNA (in an area lying towards the 5' end but 3' to hairpin I) and the branchpoint sequence (BPS) of the intron results the bulging out of an unpaired adenosine, on the BPS, which initiates a nucleophilic attack at the intronic 5' splice site, thus starting the first of two transesterification reactions that mediate splicing. The record is from Rfam by way of RNAcentral. Lineage: Eukaryota; Metazoa; Arthropoda; Insecta; Hemiptera; Reduviidae.
AACGCUUCUCGGCCUUUUGGCUAAGAUCAAAGUGUAGCAUCUGUUCUUAAAAGUCGCUCGUUCCAAUUUUAUCUCCUUCCAGGCACAGUUUCUUGGUAGAUUCUUGCGCCACUGAGUGAUUUAUGCCAAUAUACCAUCU